This 324-nucleotide ribosomal RNA is filed under the name Protaspa sp. RNAcentral describes it as "SSU rRNA". The stretch from base 57 to 324 matches the Rfam family "Eukaryotic small subunit ribosomal RNA", at positions 686 to 955 of the family's 1831-position model. The record is from RNAcentral. Lineage: Eukaryota; Cercozoa; Thecofilosea; Cryomonadida; Protaspidae.
GAUUUCUGGCCUGACGCGCCUGUCCCGCCACGGUUACGUGUGUGAGUGACGGGUCGUGUCUGCCAUCCUUCUAGAUAACAUGUGCUACCCUUCAUUGGGCUGGUGCAUGCCAUCUAGAUCUUUUACUUUGAAAAAAUUAGAGUGUUUAAAGCAGGCUUUUGCUAUGAAUACAUUAGCAUGGAAUAAUAAUCUAGGACUUCGGUUCUAUUUUGUUGGUUUCUAUAACUGAAGUAAUGAUUGAUAGGGAUAGUUGGGGGUGCUAGUAUUGGCCGGCCAGAGGUGAAAUUCUUGGAUUCGGUCAAGACUAACUUAUGCGAAAGCAUU